This 281-nucleotide unclassified non-coding RNA is filed under the name Muehlenbeckia gracillima. Its description in RNAcentral is "partial miscellaneous RNA". The record is from RNAcentral. Lineage: Eukaryota; Viridiplantae; Streptophyta; Magnoliopsida; Caryophyllales; Polygonaceae.
GCUAGACCUAGCUGCUAUCCNAGCUCCAUCUAUCAAUGGAUAAGAUUUGGAUCUUAGUGUAGUCGAGUUUUUAAAAUUAAAAAAGGAGCAAUAACCAAUUUCUUGUUCUAUCGAGCGGGUUGGUAUUGCUCCUUUCAUUUUUUUUUAUAUGGAUUAUUAUGAGUCAUAAGUUUUACUUACUUUCCCCAUAAACAAAAAUGAAAGUAAAAAAAAAAAUGAUGAAAUUUAUAAGUGUAAUUUGGACCAUUUUCAAGUAAGGAACGAAAUAGGGGCGGAUGUAG